GUUCUCUGAUACAUAAUUACUUCAUGUUAAUAGUAACUAUGCAUUAGAUAUCAAUAGCUCUAAUACAUAAUUACUGUUAACAGAAAUGAGAUAAGUCAUUUUUAGGUGUCAAACAAACACGGCCAUAUGAUUUACACAAUUCAUCUUUAUGAUGGGUAGUAAAUUACAAGCCCCCUACUCUGGUACACAACAUGCAUGUGGUGAUCAAGUCCAUCCAUCUGUUUUGCGCACCGAUCAGCAAAAGCAUGUAGCAAUCUAGGGCUGAUGUUGGAAAUUUCAGGAGUUGAGUGGUGCCAUCCAGCUAGCUAGCAAGAUGUUCUCAUCAAACUUUGAUGGGCCCCACAGGGUUGAUGGCUAUCUGAAUCACUUUUUAAAUUGUUGCAAGUUUCUUUGGACCGAUGUUUAUGCACCAAGUAAUCAGACAUUACUAACCAUAUGAUUGAUUGUCCAUUUUUCGCAUACAAAUGUGGGCCACCCAUUGAGUAGACCAAUAUGAUUUUUGGGCUUGAGCAUUAGCAUAGUGUGCCUUUACCUGUCAUGCACUGCUCCUGUGUACCUCAAGCAGCGUUCAUCUAAUUGUAUUCAUUGUAUGGGCUGUUUUUGAAAAAUGAUACAAAUAAAUGUUUGCUAGGUGUUUCUAUAUCAAGCAAGGCGAGCCUUAGAUCAGAAAGUGAGAAGCAAAACAUGCAUGGAACUCAGCAGAGAACAUUUACCUGUUAAACCAGAAAGUAACAAGAAGUUGUUCACUCGUUUGUUAUAUUUAUGCCCAAAAAAAAAAGAGGCAAGGUUCCCCUGUUUACAGUGCAAGAAGCACAUUAGCUCCCCUGGUACUUCCUAGGUUCUCCUUGUCUUAUCUACAAUGCGUUUAAACAUUAGAUUUCAUCUUACCUUUCUCAUUCCAUCAAACUGCCAUAGUUUUGCUUAAUUCACAUCUAAGACAUCUACGACAAAAAUCAGCAUUCUUUUCUUGUAUUUUUCUUUAUUGUGAGGAUACUUAGUUUCCCAGAAUAUGUUUCAGUUGGAUUUGAGUGACGAAGCAAAUGAGGCAUUGUCUACUUCAUUGCAGCUAAUGAUAAACAAAAACUGUGCCAUGAUGUUGGUGAGCUACAUCAGGCAUCCAUCUCUCACUUCUCAUAUUAAAGGAACGGGCCAAAAGAAGGGAAGCGAUGAUUGACUGAUGAUAGAAAGCAUCCCCACGAUGGAGAAUGAACAUAGAAAGAUCUUUCCACAUUGAGGAAAGCUCUCUCAACUUGCAUUAGGAAGUGGACACUUAGAAUGCCUAAGAUGAGAAGCGACAAUAGCUGGUGAAUGCCAACACUCAAAGAAUUGAAUCAUCUAGGAACAAGCCUAUUGGAUAUCCUUGGCGACCAUCUAUCUUAUGGACAUUUCUUUGUGGAUCUGUCUCACCUAUGUCCUUUGGGAAGUUGAGUACAUAGUCUAUGAUCCAUAGAUACUUUUGGAGAGCUAACAUAUCUAUAUCAAGUUGAAAGACACACCAUUGCUACAAACCUCACCACAUAAGUGGCAAUAACGAGAGUGGCGAGCUGCUGCUAGUUCACGAGAUUCUUCUGUCAGUUAUAGAUGGAGGGUUAGAGAGCACUGAUUGUCUUGCAGGCACCUGACUUGUCAAUGACAUUGAAUUUGUAAUCUUCGUUUCCAUGGAGUUGAUGUUUACAAAUGUUAAAUUAAGCCAAAUGUGAAUGUAGACCAUGUGUAAUUUGUACGUGGAUCGGAUGAUGUUUACCUUUCCAUAAACUUCUUUUUUUCCUUCCAAAUCUAUAGAUAUGGACAUACCAAUUUGACUAGGACGAAAGUAAUAGUUAAAUUUGUGAAUGCGGCACCAUGGGAACUUGUACAAACAGCAUAGCUGAACUAUGGGACAAUAAUAACUUGGAUUAGGUAGCUGAGAUAUGGCUCUGCAAGAUGGUAUGCUGAUGGCGGUUAAGAUAGGCUUGGUGGGUAAUGUUCCAGUUUUAUUCAAGCUUUAUGACAAGUGUGGGUAUGGGAUGCCAGGAGGUGAAACUCAUACCCACAGCAAACUGCAUUGAUGCAACGACUGUCGUAAGUGAGGCUAUUUCUUCAGUCCAUCAUCUUUCCAACCAGACCACACAGUGUGCAGUGGAGAUAUGAAACAGUGAGUAAUGUAGAUAUGGGGUUCACAUCUC
This is a long non-coding RNA of Magnolia sinica, 2165 nucleotides long. RefSeq lists it as uncharacterized. The record is from RefSeq and is a predicted model, not a curated record. Lineage: Eukaryota; Viridiplantae; Streptophyta; Magnoliopsida; Magnoliales; Magnoliaceae. The transcript has 3 exons.